Molecule: ribosomal RNA, 873 nt
Filed under: Lingulaulax polyedra
Lineage: Eukaryota; Dinophyceae; Gonyaulacales; Lingulodiniaceae
Description: Lingulodinium polyedra partial large subunit ribosomal RNA
Rfam family: Eukaryotic large subunit ribosomal RNA
Source: RNAcentral
AUUCCUUCAGUAACGGCGAGUGAACAGGGAGUAGCUCAGCAUGGAAAUUGGGGCUGGUAGCCUUGAGUUGUAGUCUGGAGAUGCGUUGCCAAUGGGGGUGCAGAUGUAAGCCUCUUGGAAAAGAGCACUAAUGAGGGUGACAGUCCUGUUUGCCAUCUGUCGUCUUCCAUGCACGGCGUGCUUUCUACGAGUCACGUUCCUUGGGCUUGGAGCGCCAAUGUGGUGGUAAUUUUCACCCCAAGCUAAAUACAUGUUCAGGACCGACAGCAAACAAGUACCAUGAGGGAAAGGUGAAAAGGACUUUGAGAAGAGUGUUAAAAGUGCAUGAAUUUGCUGAAUGUAAGUGAAUGGAACCGUUUGUCUGGGUAAGAUUGCCACACUUGUCUGUGACGUGGUGCCUGAUUUCGCAAGUAUUGCAGUGCUGCGUUGUUUGUGUAUGUGUGGUGUUUCUUGCCUUGCUAGUCACUGUCAGUGUGCAACUGUGCAUGAAAUCAAGGAUUUGCGUGUUCACUUGUGGUGGCCAUGCAUGUCUUGAGUGUGCACACUUGUACAUUGCUUGGUGUGUGCCGGGGUGGAGUGUUGCAGGCUGCUCUUUGUUGCUGAGAAACUGUUCUCUUCAUGAGGUGUGCGCUUGGGACAUAUUCUUGUUUGCGCCAACGUUGACUAAAUGGCUCUAUUCGACCCGUCUUGAAACACGGACCAAGGAGUCUAACGCAUGUGUAAGUUUGCGGGUGGCCAACUUGUGUGCGACAUGAAAGUGUUUGUUGGGAUUCUGUGCACUAACAAUGGACCAAUCGUGUGGGAGAGGUUUGAGUUGGAGCACAUGCGUUAGGACCCGAAAGAUGGUGAACUAUGCCUGAGGAGGGCAAAUCA